GAUGAACGCUAGCGGUGUGCUUAAAGCAUGCAAGUCGAACAUGAUCCCUUGGAUUCGUCUGAGGGUGAAAGUGGCGAACGGGUGAGUAACGCGUUGGUGAUCUGCCCCGGAGUGGGGAAUAACUAUUGGAAACGAUAGCUAAUACCCCAGAUGUCCUCGUGUUUGGAAAGCGAUGACUAAAGUUCAGGCGCUCCGGGAGGAGCCAGCGUCCCAUCAGCUAGUUGGUAAGGUAACGGCUUACCAAGGCACAGACGGGGUAGGGGCGGUGAGAGCGUGGCCCCCCACACUGGUACUGACACACGGACCAGAUACCUACGGGUAGCAGCAGCUAGGAAUAUUGGACAAUGGGCGAAAGCCUGAUCCAGCAACACCGCGUGGAGGACGAAGGCCUUCGGGUCGUAAACUCCUUUUUGGGGGGAUGAGAAAGGACAGUACCCCCAGAAUAAGGCCCGGCUAACUACGUGCCAGCAGCCGCGGUAAU
This 481-nucleotide ribosomal RNA is filed under the name uncultured bacterium. Its description in RNAcentral is "bacterial SSU rRNA". It matches the Rfam family "Bacterial small subunit ribosomal RNA", at positions 28 to 524 of the family's 1533-position model. The record is from RNAcentral.